This 459-nucleotide ribosomal RNA is filed under the name uncultured bacterium. RNAcentral's name for it is "partial 16S ribosomal RNA". It matches the Rfam family "Bacterial small subunit ribosomal RNA", at positions 338 to 795 of the family's 1533-position model. The record is from RNAcentral.
CCUACGGGGUGCAGCAGUGAGGAAUAUUGGUCAAUGGCCGAGAGGCUGAACCAGCCAAGUCGCGUGAGGGAAGAAGGUACAGCGUAUCGUAAACCUCUUUUGUCAGGGAACAAAGGCGGGGACUAGUCCCCGGAUGAGGGUCCCUGAAGAAAAAGCAUCGGCUAACUCCGUGCCAGCAGCCGCGGUACUACGGAGGAUGCGAGCGUUCUCCGGAUUUGGUGGGUUUAAAGGGUGCGCAGGCGGCCUGUUAAGUCAGCGGUAAAAGCACGGGGCUCAACCCCGGCGAGCCGUUGAAACUGGCGGGCUGGAGUGGGAGAGAAGUACGCGGAAUGCGUGGUGUAGCGGUGAAAUGCUUAGAUAUCGCGCAGAACCCCGAUUGCGAAGGCAGCGUACCGGCUCCACACUGACGCUGAGGCACGAAAGCGUGGGUAUCGAACAGGAUUAGAUACCCCUGUAGUC